UACAGAGGUCCCAAGCGUUGUUCGGAUUCACUGGGCGUAAAGGGUGCGUAGGCGGUCGGGUAAGUCUGAUGUGAAAUCUCACAGCUUAACUGCGAAACUGCAUUGGAUACUAUCCGGCUAGAGGAAUGGAGGGGAGACUGGAAUACUUGGUGUAGCAGUGAAAUGCGUAGAUAUCAAGUGGAACACCAGUGGCGAAGGCGAGUCUCUGGACAUUUCCUGACGCUGAGGCACGAAAGCCAGGGGAGCAAACGGG
Molecule: ribosomal RNA, 253 nt
Filed under: uncultured bacterium
Lineage: Bacteria
Description: partial 16S ribosomal RNA
Rfam family: Bacterial small subunit ribosomal RNA
Source: RNAcentral